CAGUCGCCACGGUAAUACGAAGGGGGCUAGCGUUGCUCGGAAUGACUGGGCGUAAAGGGCGCGUAGGCGGCGAUCAAAGUCAGGCGUGAAAUUCCUGGGCUCAACCUGGGGGCUGCGUUUGAUACUUGAUUGCUAGAGUGGGGAAGAGGGUCGUGGAAUUCCCAGUGUAGAGGUGAAAUUCGUAGAUAUUGGGAAGAACACCGGUGGCGAAGGCGGCGACCUGGUCCUUGACUGACGCUGAGGCGCGAAAGCGUGGGGAGCAAACAGGAUUAGAUACCCCAGUAGUCCCUGUCUCUUAUAC
RNAcentral lists this ribosomal RNA (301 nucleotides) under uncultured bacterium. RNAcentral describes it as "partial 16S ribosomal RNA". It matches the Rfam family "Bacterial small subunit ribosomal RNA", at positions 509 to 807 of the family's 1533-position model. The record is from RNAcentral.